GUGGGGAAUAUUGGGCAAUGGACGCAAGUCUGACCCAGCAACGCCGCGUGAAGGAAGAAGGCUUUCGGGUUGUAAACUUCUUUUGUCAGGGAACAGUAGAAGAGGGUACCUGACGAAUAAGCCACGGCUAACUACGUGCCAGCAGCCGCGGUAAUACGUAGGUGGCAAGCGUUGUCCGGAUUUACUGGGUGUAAAGGGCGUGCAGCCGGGCUGGCAAGUCAGGCGUGAAAUCCCAGGGCUCAACCCUGGAACUGCGUUUGAAACUGCUGGUCUUGAGUACCGGAGAGGUCAUCGGAAUUCCUUGUGUAGCGGUGAAAUGCGUAGAUAUAAGGAAGAACACCAGUGGCGAAGGCGGAUGACUGGACGGCAACUGACGGUGAGGCGCGAAAGCGUGGGGAGCAAACAGGAUUAGAAACCCGAGUAGUCC
Molecule: ribosomal RNA, 427 nt
Filed under: uncultured bacterium
Lineage: Bacteria
Description: bacterial SSU rRNA
Rfam family: Bacterial small subunit ribosomal RNA
Source: RNAcentral